CCAAGUUAUGUAGUUCAAUAAAGGUUCUUGCUGUCAUCACUGCGUCUUGCCUUGUGGGAGCCCACCUACACUUCAGGAAUGUGCCUGAGAUGUGUGGCAUGGGCUCAAGUUGAAGGGUGGCUGCAAGGUCCUUCAGAACUUACCCUUCGUCCUCCUCCUGGCAGAACUGAAGUCCUGUGGAUGCCUACCUGGCUUUCACCCUCUAUAAGCAAAGGACAAAUAAAUGGCUUUUCACUAGCAGCUGGGUGGAAGAAAAGGAAUUGACCCAUCUACUCACCCUGCCUAUGGCUGACUUGUGGUCCCACCACAAAUUGAGAUAUCGGGAAAUGCAGCCUCCACCAUAAAACAGAUUCACCGCUCCUAUUAAGAGGGCAUCUGAAUUUUAUCCAGCUGCAAUUGAAUAAGCAUGACUAUAUCUAAAGUAGCAACAUUAAGGAUAAAUCAAACAUGAUCCUGGCCAACCACUCGUGGGUCUGUAAUUCAUGGAGAUUUAAUGAAAACCGAGCACAAUAGAUCUUGUCUGUUCGGAGCACUAAAGAGAAGUUAGCAACACUGAGAAUACAGUCAUAUUCAUGUCUGAAGUACUUAACUUCUUGAAUUAAAUGAGACUUACUACUAGGUAAGAGAGUAUAGCUGGGGUGGUGAACUUUUUUUCAGCCAGAGGGCUGCAGUCCCUCAGGAGAACCAUAUGCCAUGGGUUCUAGCCACACAAAAGCCAACAGUUCCUAUCUACACACACACACACACACACACACACACACACACACACACCUUUCAUACAGACAGAAAAGAUGCAUUAUUCACAUUUCAACUAUACAUUCCAGCUAGGCAAAAGCACUAAAGAGGGUUGGUGGGGGUGUCUUUUGGGGAGUGUCCCCAAGGAUCACAGUCAGCCUUGGCCCUGGAGGUUUCCUAUCCUUGCUGUAUAAGAUUGCAGCUUGAUUUACAAAUUCUAUUAUUAACCACUGGUUUCAUCUGGACUCUCAAAAAAUCCAAAUCUUAUCUGAUCUUCCCUGCAUAUCUAAACAACAUAGCACCAAGUUAAAUCUUGAAUGCAUGCAGUGUGGGAACUGCUUCCUUGUCCCUGUCCCUCCCCCUGCACCCCUGAGAUCCAUUCAGAUUGAUCAUGUGGACAAUUAUUUUGUGUAGAAUGCCCUUCAGCCUGUUUGCCUUUAUCGUGUGACAGAAUGCAAAGCGAUUUUCUGGAAAAGCGUGCACAUGACUGCAGCUUGAGAAAUAAUGGGGAAUUACACCAUCAAAGAAGGCAAAUACUCCUGGUUUUUUGCACAACAGAAGUAAUGCUAUCGUGGGAAUUUGCAGAGGGUUAGUACCUCUGUCAGCUUGCUGUAGGAAAAGCUAUGAAGAGACUUGUGGUCACCUUGAAGGCUAAAAAGUAUGGCAAUCAUCCCCAAUGCUGAAGUCUACUCCAUGAGAAGCAUCUUAUGAAGUUGACUUUAUCCCACAAAAGCUUAUGCCGUAUACAUUUAAAGCAACACAAGACAAUAGUAAGAGACUCUACAGUAUUUGAUGAUACAGACAAAACUCUUAUGUGUGAAGGUAAGAGAAAGAGCUGCAAAUCUCUAAAGACAAAAAGCAAUAAAAAUACUAUAUUUAAUAAAUUGCAUCUGGUGAAUAGGAUUCUGGACGAUGAAAAUGCAUGCUGCAAUAUAUUUAUUAAAACCUUAAGAUGCCACAGAGCACUCUUGUCAUUUUACAGGAUUUUCUCAAGAACUAUCCAGGAGUUCAGUUUGUCUCUGACACAAGCAAAGCAGACACAUUCUUUAAAAAAUAAAGGAACGUGCUCCUUCUCUCAGCCAUAAAUAUGACCGUACAGUUAAAAAAUAAUUUACCAGCUAUGUAUAAAAAUAAGUGGUCACCUUUCCAAUCCUAAGGAAACCCAUGUGAAGAGUUUAUUAGGUCAUGUCUGCAUUGCAAAUGUAAAUGAGCUUAAUUGUCCUCUCCCCAAAGACCCUGAGAAUUGUAGUUCCUUAAAUGGGGUACCACACAUCUCUUUCAAAGUCUUAUUACAAAACUACUACUAUACACUUUCUUGGAGAAGCCAAGGUUAAAGGUUGCAGGGCAGAUGUGCCUGCAGCAAAAAGCUCAUCUAGAAUAUAAGGUGGGAAGUCCACUAUCCUUCACUCAUCCAUCUUCAAACUUAGGAGUGGUUCAAAUGCACAUUUGCACCUGAGCACUUGCAUGUGCGAUUGUGGUGUUGUGUGGCAAAGUCCAGACAAAUUUUCAGAUCAGCUCAAACAAAAUGGGCAUUAGUUAAGGUGCUCACACAUUUAUCUGCCAAUAAUUGCAUAGAGAAACAAAGCGAUGUGUGUGCAUAUGUGAACAAGCCCUGUAUCUAGGCUCUCCACAGUGAGAAUACAUACACUGACUGUAACUAGGAUCAAGCCUCUACCUUUAAAGAGUGGCCAAAAGGGGGAGUCUAUUGGUGACAGCUUCUAGCGUUACUACAGUUCUAUGAUGGGAAAAGCUGCACGUAAAAUUAGUUCCAUUAGUUCUUCAAGGUCCAAGAUCCUUUUUGGGGUCCACAGCUGACAAUUGUGUUUUGGCCUGCACUUUUGAUUUUUAUUGUGCUGCACCUGCUGCCCUUAUAAAAAAUAACUAGAAAUACCGCACAUAACCCGGAUAUACAUAGGGUUGAUUUUCAAAUGGCCCACCCUCUCUACCAAUCACAUCCCUACCAAUCACUGUAAAAGGACAGAAUAAUCCCUGAGACUGAGCUAAGGUGGGUUGUAGGGCAACUGGAAUCAAGUGGACACACCCUGUUAGGAUUUGUUGAGGUUCUGAAUUCUCUUCAAGGGGG
This is a long non-coding RNA of Podarcis raffonei (Aeolian wall lizard), 2818 nucleotides long. RefSeq lists it as uncharacterized. The record is from RefSeq and is a predicted model, not a curated record. NCBI's taxonomy places the organism in Eukaryota, Metazoa, Chordata, Lepidosauria, Squamata, Lacertidae. The transcript is spliced from 2 exons.